Molecule: ribosomal RNA, 442 nt
Filed under: uncultured bacterium
Lineage: Bacteria
Description: bacterial SSU rRNA
Rfam family: Bacterial small subunit ribosomal RNA
Source: RNAcentral
GUGAGGAAUAUUGCGCAAUGGGCGAAAGCCUGACGCAGCAACGCCGCGUGUAGGAUGAAAUCCUUCGGGAUGUAAACUACUGUUAGAGGGGAAGAAAUCCCGGUUACGCCGGGAGUGACGGUACCCUCAGAGAAAGCCACGGCUAACUCUGUGCCAGCAGCCGCGGUAAUACAGGGGUGGCAAGCGUUGUCCGGAAUUACUGGGUGUAAAGGGUGCGUAGGCGGGUCGGUAAGUCAGUGGUCAAAUCCUAUAGCUUAACUAUAGACUAUCCAUUGAUACUGCUGAUCUUGAGUGCGAGAGAGAUGAGUGGAAUUCCAAGUGUAGCGGUGAAAUGCGUAGAGAUUUGGAAGAACACCAGUAGCGAAGGCGGCUCAUUAGCUCGUAACUGACGCUGAGGCACGAAAGCAUGGGUAGCAAACAGGAUUAGAAACCCCUGUAGUCC